UGCCAGCCGCCGCGGUAAUACGGAAGGGACCUAUCGUAGUUCGGAAUUACUGGGCUUAAAGAGUUCGUAGGUGGUUGAAAAAGUUAGUGGUGAAAUCCCAGAGCUUAACUCUGGAACUGCCAUUAAAACUUUUCAGCUAGAAUAUGAUAGAGGAAAGCAGAAUUUCUAGUGUAGAGGUGAAAUUCGUAGAUAUUAGAAAGAAUACCAAUUGCGAAGGCGGCCUCCUGGAUCUGUACUGACACUGAGGUGCGAAAGCGUGGGUAGCGAACAGGAUUAGAUA
RNAcentral lists this ribosomal RNA (280 nucleotides) under uncultured bacterium. RNAcentral's name for it is "partial 16S ribosomal RNA". It matches the Rfam family "Bacterial small subunit ribosomal RNA", at positions 506 to 784 of the family's 1533-position model. The record is from RNAcentral.